CUUUUUUAAAUACCAAUGGCUUUAAAUAUCUUCUGGACUGGAUUGACUUUCAUAUUCAGUAAUAUGCUUUUCUCAAAACUGGUAGUUGGUUUUGAAGACUGUUCUUCAAAUUAUCAAAGAGUUGGAAGCGCCUGCCUAGAAUGUCCCUAGGGUUAUUUUGGGAAAAACUUUCUUGUUCCUUGUCCAGAAAAGAUGUAUGGAAAAUUAUGUGCGGGAAUUCGCGAUUGCUUGCCCGAAGAAUGUGAUUUCAAGGAUGGAUGUCGCGAAC
This is a long non-coding RNA of Saccostrea cuccullata (small rock oyster), 268 nucleotides long. RefSeq lists it as uncharacterized. The record is from RefSeq and is a predicted model, not a curated record. The transcript is spliced from 3 exons. Lineage: Eukaryota; Metazoa; Mollusca; Bivalvia; Ostreida; Ostreidae.